UCUGACUUUAGAGAUUUGAGGGGGUUAAUGGUUAUCAUUGUCAACGAAAAGCUUUAGUGAUAUUGUCAAAUUUUACCUUCCAAGUCUGCCUUCCUCCUCUAUAAAAGGAGAGCCCUUAUCUCCAACCUUCUUCUCAUCAAAUCCACUGAACAAGUACUCGAGCCUCGAGUCAAUUCACAAUGCUGAAAGGAGCCACAGGCCUGCUCAUCCUCCUCGUCCUCGUCUUCACACCAUCCAUGGCUACUCAAGAGGAGACUAAGCACAUAGAUCUGGCAAAGAAGAUGCCAUCAAGGAAGCUCCUGGUGGAUAUACAGGAUUAUGAGACAGGGCCCAACCCUAAGCAUGAUCCAAGGAAGGGGAAGCCUGGGAUUGGAGGAAAGAAGACUUGAUUCAUUGGCAUGCUCCCUUGCCGUAUCUUAAUUAAAUAUUACUUCAAUAUGUACUCCAUAAGUUUAAGUACACUUAAGAAUUUUUUAAAUAAUGCUCCUCAACUUGGUGCAUCAGCUAGUUGUUUAUUAGCUAUGUGUGAUUCUGACAAUAAAGGCUAUGUCAAUUCUGAUGUUGCUCAAGUAGAGACAAAGCCUCUUAUAAACCAA
Molecule: long non-coding RNA, 596 nt
Organism: Zingiber officinale
Lineage: Eukaryota; Viridiplantae; Streptophyta; Magnoliopsida; Zingiberales; Zingiberaceae
Exons: 2
Source: RefSeq, a predicted model, not a curated record